CAACAUUACUCAAACUUCUAGGAAGAUGUCAGCAAGUUUUCCAAUUUUUAGUUCUUUUAUUUUUGGACCACCAAUAUGGAUUUUAAUAUGAAAAAAAUUCGUAUUUUUGUAAAUUGGUAUUUUAAAAAAUAAAUAAAAAAUAAAUUAUGUAGUUGAUAAUGUAAUAUAUAUCAUAAUUUAUUUUUGAAUAUUUGAGAAUGUAUUGAUUUCCUGUAAUUUAUUGGUUUAUCAUUUAAUUUCUUAAAAAAGCCUUUUGUUUGGGCUCUCCCGUAUGCUCCUCUCUUUAGGAUUCUCUCUCGCUGUCAAGUAUCAUAUAUAGCAGUAAGAGAUAAAAUUCCUUUCCGCAGAAUUCUUUGGAAACCCUUGUCUUUCCAAAUUCUGAGCUGUACCCAUAACCCAGUAAGCGGAAACAAGAAGAUGCUGAAUUUAUUAAGUUUGCAAAGUUUGCAGUGUGUGUUAGACUUGGUGGUUGCUGGGAUCUCUUUGAUUUUUGGGCUGGGAAUUUUCGCCUUCAUUGCCUCCAUUCUUUGCUCUGCUGCCUUCUUACACAAUGCCAAGCACGCCUCUUGAUCCCACCCCACCGUCGAAUUCAAAGGGAACAGAAGAAAGUUCGAAAAUGCAGGUUGUUGGUUCCUCUGGAAUUUCUUUUUUCACUGUUGUGGAAGUGACAUUGAGCAGACUGUAUGCUGGACUAGCCUGUGUCCACCCAAAGAUUGGCAAUUUUGACCUGCAUUAGAGUUUUUUCCGCCUUUGGUUUUCUUUUUUCCUUUUUCUUGUUUUCUCCUUCAAUGUUCUUAUGAAUCUCUGAGUGCUUUAGUUCAAAGUGUGUAGAGGAACACAACCAAGCUAAGGAUCAUGGGGCAUCCAAGCUCGAUUUAGUUUUUUUUUUAUGUACUGUAAUUAGAUAACUAUAUUGUUCAAUUUAAUCAUUCAGCUCAACUUUUUACUCAGAAAGUUGAUAUACCUUUCUACUACACACGAAUUAUUGUGAAUAAAAUGGAUUAAAGUCCCGUUUUCUUA
Molecule: long non-coding RNA, 1020 nt
Organism: Carya illinoinensis
Lineage: Eukaryota; Viridiplantae; Streptophyta; Magnoliopsida; Fagales; Juglandaceae
Exons: 2
Source: RefSeq, a predicted model, not a curated record